This 349-nucleotide long non-coding RNA is filed under the name Mytilus galloprovincialis (Mediterranean mussel). Lineage: Eukaryota; Metazoa; Mollusca; Bivalvia; Mytilida; Mytilidae. The record is from RNAcentral.
GCUUCAAGUAAACACGAACUUACAUAAAUCAAAAAUGUUACCCAUCAUAACCAAAACUUUAACCCCAUACUGUACGAACGAACCCAUGAUAGAACUGAAAGCAUAAUGACCAUCUGUUGUCGCCGACGGUGCAAUUGAAUUAAUUUAUUGCAAAGUUUGUGGUUACUAUUUACAAGAUUGAAAAAAUUAAGCAUUUUUUAAAAAUCGAUAAAUCCCAACUCUUUCGCUACCAGAAGAUAUGAUAUGAAUGCCAAUGACACAACUCUCUGUCUAAGUCACAACCAUGUAAAAGCUCUCACACAGACAAACAACCCCCCAUAAUUGAGAAUUAUAAGGGCAUACACCACAA